CGCGUUAGUAAGCUAGCUUUGUAAGCUAAGCAAGCCUGGUUCUCCGGGCACUAGGGUAGGACGUGGAUCGACCAUGACGAGAAUGGACUUCUCCAUAAUGUAAUAGAAGAGUCACAGUCCAGUUCCACGGGCUUUCUCCCUUCUCGACCAGACGAAGGAGAUAUGAAUUCCAUUCAGGCGGGUAAGGGCUUGGCUUGACCCUGUGUUCUCGGGUCGGAGGCGAAAACUGGCAAAGUUCAUCAUUCAGUGGUGGGGUGUUCGUAGAAAAGAAGGCGUCGCCCAACGAGUGGCAGAUUUUGAUGGAGUCUCGCUUGGAUGCUGGGGAGAUCCAUAGAUCUGGAUAGAGUCCCCGGAAUAGUACGCGCGCUAGCGCGCUACGGCUUACGCAGUUGAUCGGAUCAGAUAGCCCUUCGGGCAACCAACCAAACCCGGCACAUCAAAUUCCAUUCCGAUCAACAACUUGAAGGUAUGGCUGAGUGGCUUAAGGCAUUGGUUUGCUAAAUCGACAUACAAGAAGAUUGUAUCAUGGGUUCAAAUCCCAUUUCCUCCGGAACAGAAGUGAAACGGGCGGGCGAAAUGACGUGAGAGAAAGAACCUCUUGGUGGAGUCCAGCCCCCCAGAAUAGCACUACUUAGUGACUAGGAGCGGAGAGACCUUUGCGCGUUCUUUUUGUUUGAUCGGCCUAUCUUCUUUCUAUAAGCAAGCUCCCUCCGGCUGUCCAGGGGCUGGGCGGCUCUCGGUUCUUGAGGGGGAUUAGGCGGCAGUUGAAAGAGCUGCUCGAAAGCUUGACGAAGAAGCGAAAAAGGCCUAUAUAUAGAUUCUAUUCUUUCUUAUUAUUCAUUAUUAUUCUAUUUUUAGUACAAGGGCUUUUUACUAGUCAAGUGGUAAGGUAGGGCGCUAUUCGAUGAAGAAAACAUCUUUUAGGAAAGUGGUUCAGGUAGCUCAGCUGGUUAGAGCAAAGGACUGAAAAUCCUUGUGUCAGUGGUUCGAAUCCACUUCUAAGCGGGCCAAGGGUCCAAAGGCCGGA
RNAcentral lists this transfer RNA (1027 nucleotides) under Helianthus annuus (common sunflower). RNAcentral describes it as "hypothetical non coding rna". The stretch from base 932 to 1005 matches the Rfam family "tRNA". Lineage: Eukaryota; Viridiplantae; Streptophyta; Magnoliopsida; Asterales; Asteraceae. The record is from RNAcentral.